RNAcentral lists this ribosomal RNA (465 nucleotides) under uncultured bacterium. RNAcentral's name for it is "bacterial SSU rRNA". It matches the Rfam family "Bacterial small subunit ribosomal RNA", at positions 28 to 491 of the family's 1533-position model. The record is from RNAcentral.
GACGAACGCUGGCGGCAUGCCUAACACAUGCAAGUCGAACGGAGUUUCUCAAAUGGAUCCCUUCGGGGUGAAGCUUUUGAAACUUAGUGGCGGACGGGUGAGUAACGCGUGGGUAACCUGCCUUGUACAGGGGGAUAACAGUUGGAAACGGCUGCUAAUACCGCAUAAGCGCACAGCACCGCAUGGUGCAGUUAGGAAAGGAGCAAUCCGCUGAUAGAUGGGCUUGCGUCUGAUUAGCUAGUUGGUGGGUAAAGGCCUACCAAGGCGACGAUCAGUAGCCGGACUGAGAGGUUGAACGGCCACAUUGGGACUGAGAUACGGCCCAGACUCCUACGGGAGGCAGCAGUCGGGAAUAUUGCGCAAUGGAGGAAACUCUGACGCAGUGACGCCGCGUAUAGGAAGAAGGUUUCGGAUUGUAAACUAUUGUCGUUAGGGAAGAUACAAGACAGUACCUAAGGAGGAAAG